UAGUCCUAGCCGUAAACGAUGGGUACUAGUCUCUGGGGGUCCUGAUAUCCUCGGGGACGUCGCUAAUGCAUUAGGUACCCCGCCUGGGGAGUAUGGUCGCAAGGCUAAAACUCAAAGGAAUUGACGGGGGUUCACACAAGCGGUGGAGCAUGUUGUUUAAUUCGAAGCAACGCGAAGAACCUUACCAGGGCUUGACAUGUUAGAAGUAGUGAACCGAAAGGGGAUCGAUUGGUAUCCAGUCCAAAACUAACACAGGUGCUGCAUGGCUGUCGUCAGCUCGUGUCGUGAGACGUUAGGUUAAGUCCUGUAACGAGCGAAACCCCUGUCGUCUGUUGCUACCAGGUUAUGCUGGGCACUCUGGCGAGACUGCCGGUGUUAAACCGGAGGAAGGCGGGGACGACGUCAAGUCAUCAUGGUCCUUACGUCCUGGGCUACAAACGUGCUACAAUGGCUGGUACAGAGAGACGCAAAACCGCGAGGUGGAGCAAAUCUUCAAAACCAGCCUCAGUUCGGA
Molecule: ribosomal RNA, 514 nt
Filed under: uncultured bacterium
Lineage: Bacteria
Description: bacterial SSU rRNA
Rfam family: Bacterial small subunit ribosomal RNA
Source: RNAcentral